This 407-nucleotide ribosomal RNA is filed under the name uncultured bacterium. Its description in RNAcentral is "partial 16S ribosomal RNA". It matches the Rfam family "Bacterial small subunit ribosomal RNA", at positions 29 to 526 of the family's 1533-position model. The record is from RNAcentral.
AUUGAACGCUGGCGGCAGGCCUAACACAUGCAAGUCGAGCGGAGCGGCGGACGGGUGAGGAAGGCCUAGGAAUCUGCCUGGUGGUAGGCGAUAACGUCCAGAGGCGGGCGCUAAUACCGCAUAAUAUAAGAGGAGUCUAGGUCGGAUUAGCUAGUUGGUGGGGUAACGGCUCACCAAGGCGACGAUCCCUAGCUGGUCUGAGAGGAGGACCAGCCAAACUGGAACUGAGACACGGUCCAGACUCCUACGGGAGGCAGCAGUGGGGAAUAUUGCACAAUGGGCGAAAGCCUGAUGCAGCCAUGCCGCGUGUAUGAAGAAGGCCUUCGGGUUGUAAAGUACUGUCAGCGGGGAGGCGUUACCCGCAGAAGAAGCACCGGCUAACUCCGUGCCAGCAGCCGCGGUAAUAC